AUUGAACGCUGGCGGCAGGCCUAACACAUGCAAGUCGAACGAGUGGCGGACGGGCGAGUAAUGCUUGGGAAUCUGGCUUAUGGAGGGGGAUAACGAGGGGAAACUGUCGCUAAUACUGCGUACCACAGGUUGAGCCCAAGUGGGAUUAGGUAGUUGGUGUGGUAAUGGCCUACAAAGCCGACGACCUCUAGCUGGUCUGAGAGGAUGACCGGCCACACCGUGACUGAGACACGGCCCGGACUCCUACGGGAGGCAGCAGUGGGGAAUAUUGCGCAAUGGGGGCAACCUGACGCAGCCAUGCCGCGUGAGUGAAGAAGGCCUUCGGGUUGUAAAGUUCUUUCGGUGACGAGGCGUUAAUCACAGAAGAAGCACCGGCUAACGCCGUGCCAGCCGCCGCGGUAAUAC
RNAcentral lists this ribosomal RNA (405 nucleotides) under uncultured bacterium. RNAcentral describes it as "partial 16S ribosomal RNA". It matches the Rfam family "Bacterial small subunit ribosomal RNA", at positions 30 to 526 of the family's 1533-position model. The record is from RNAcentral.